UUUCCGUAGGUGAACCUGCGGAAGGAUCAUUAAGGAAAGAAACAGGAGCGCUCUUUUUAGAGGCUUCGACCCCUUUCACUUUUCCAUACACCCGUGCACUCGGGGGCGAAAUACAUUGGCCGACGAGGCCUCUGUCUCGCUUUCCCGCCCUUUACAAACGCAUAAAGUUGUCGUGGAUGUAAUAUAAACUUUAAAACAAAUAAAACUUUCAACAACGGAUCUCUUGGCUCUCGCAUCGAUGAAGAACGCAGC
RNAcentral lists this unclassified non-coding RNA (252 nucleotides) under uncultured fungus. Its description in RNAcentral is "sequence contains ITS1, 5.8S rRNA gene". The stretch from base 204 to 252 matches the Rfam family "5.8S ribosomal RNA", at positions 1 to 49 of the family's 154-position model. The record is from RNAcentral. Lineage: Eukaryota; Fungi.